Molecule: small RNA, 38 nt
Filed under: Arabidopsis thaliana (thale cress)
Lineage: Eukaryota; Viridiplantae; Streptophyta; Magnoliopsida; Brassicales; Brassicaceae
Description: ATSL110020
Source: RNAcentral
CACUCUUGGCGUGUGCGUCCUUGUAUGCUUCUGUGACA